Molecule: long non-coding RNA, 1079 nt
Filed under: Aquilegia coerulea
Lineage: Eukaryota; Viridiplantae; Streptophyta; Magnoliopsida; Ranunculales; Ranunculaceae
Description: long non-coding RNA (ACOE_LNC000959)
Source: RNAcentral
AAAUAGUAUUCUUUCUUCGAGCUAGUGGCUCAAAUUCUAAAAUUGUCUUAGCUUCUUUCUUCGAGCUAUCAUUAAUCAACAUAUUUUGACAAACAAAGGAAAAUAACAUCAAUCAAAUCACAAGUAUGGUAAAUACAUCAAGAGUAUCAAACAAUACCACAAUCCCCCAUUAACAAUAUAUAUAAAGAGUGACAUAUAAGAAAGAAAGUAAAGCGACAGAGAAAGAAGAAGCUUUAUAGUUUGUAUUCUAAACCAAAGUCACGACAACACAUAAUUGAUUUUUAUGUGAUGAACAUGACCUAAAAUAUUCUACAAUCAUACUAUCCCCAAAAUAUUAGAAAAUGUUAAAAUAGUAAAGAUAUAACAUUUCCAUUCUCUUUAUGAUAAACUACUGUCAACUCCCAUGCUAAAUAAAACAAUAUGAAAAUUGAAUAUACUCCUAUGAACUAUUGAAGUCCAUGAAAAAAAUAUACUCAUUAAACAAAAAACACUAUUGAUCAAGGCAAAAUUAUGAAAAUUGAAUAAAAAUAUACAACAACCAUCCCCACAAUUUAAUUUCAAACUGAAUUAUAUGAAAAAGGAUAUUCUUUAAACAAAAAACACAAUUGAUCAACAAAAAUUAUCUCAAAGCAGCAAAAUUAUGAAGCUUUAGUCUUUAAAUUCAGAUCCACGACAAAUUAUAUAAAUCAUCAACAGGUUUGUUGGCUUUAGUCUUUAAAUUCAGAUCAACCAAGUGGAUUUUCCCAAACUAUAUGGGGUCACAGACAAUAAAACAUAAAGAUUUAAAGGAUAAGGCUUGAGGGGUUGCACUUUUAAGUUUUUUUGCUGUUUGUAAAAGGAACAAUUGAUUGAAGUUUGUCAUUCUGUUUUCUCUUGUAACAUCUCCAAAAAUAUUUAGCAAUUUAACAAAGAGAUUAGUAUAAAGCUAGCAGAAUGAUAGAGCCAAAACAUACCUAUUUAGCAAAUCUGAACCUUGUCCUUGACCUAUGCUAUAAAGAACAAACAGGUGAGUGAAGUUCGAUCCACCACAAUUUUUUCACUCAAUUCAGUUCAUUGAUCACUUGAAAUCUAACUUCCCA